Molecule: ribosomal RNA, 1311 nt
Filed under: Cirrothauma murrayi
Lineage: Eukaryota; Metazoa; Mollusca; Cephalopoda; Octopoda; Cirroteuthidae
Description: 16S ribosomal RNA
Rfam family: Bacterial large subunit ribosomal RNA (bases 855-1239)
Source: RNAcentral
UAAAUUUUUAGGUUAUAAAUAAAAUAAGUUAAGUGGUUAGAGUAAUAGGUAAAGAAAUAUUAGGUGUUAGUGAAGUACUGAAGGGGAUAUACUAUAUAAAUUUUAUUGUAGUAGAAAUUAAAAUUUGUACCUUUAGCAUUAUGGGUUGAUAAUAUAAUUAAUUUUAUAGAUUGUUUCUCGAAUUAAAAGGAUUUAUUUAGUAAAAGGUUUACCUUGAUGAUUUUAACGUGGUAUAGUUAUAUUAUUAUUAUUAAAUGGUAGUGAAAUGCUAUUCGACUUUUAUGUUAGCUAGUUUAUUGAUUGUAGCAUAUUAGUGCAGUGUGAUAUUUAUAUGUAUUCAUAUGAUAUUUCAUAUAUAUUUAAUGGGGGAUAAGCUUCAUACUAUAAUUGAGAUUUAUUAUAUAAGUUAGUUUUUAUUUAAAUUGAAUUAGAUAAUUUUAUUUAUAAUUAUUAAUUAAGGUAAAAGGAAAUAAUCUUAAUUGCUAUUAAUAAAUUUUUAUUAAUUAUUAUAAUAGAUAAUUAUAAUGUUAAUAUGAGUAUUUAGUAUUUUUAAUAAGUUGGAUUUUGCUAGUGAAUUGUAUUAUAGAAUAAGUAAAAGUUUAUAAAAUUAUUAUAAUAUAAUAAAGUAAAUAAAAGGAAUUUGGCAAAUAUCAAUUUCGCCUGUUUAUCAAAAACAUGUCUCUUUGUUUUUUUUGUAUAAAGAGUCGGGCCUGCUCGGUGAUAUACUUAUUUAACAGCUGCGGUAUAUUAACUGUACUAAGGUAGCAUAAUAAUUUGCCUUAUAAAUUGAGGCUAGAAUGAAUGGUUUGACGAAAGUUGAUCUGUCUCUUAUUUAUUUUUUAGAAAUUAAUUUUUAAAGUGAAAAAGCUUGGAUUAUUUAAAGGGACGAGAAGACCCUAUUGAGCUUUAAUUGUUUAUUUAUAUAAGUUUUUUUAUAUAAUUUUAGGCAUAUUUGAUUGGGGUGAUCAAGGAAUAAGUGUUUAUUUUAACUUCCUUAUAGGUAUUAUAUUAAUUUAUUAAUUAACCAGUUUUAUUGCUUUUAUGAAUAAGUUACCAUAGGGAUAACAGCGUAAUUUUUUUAGAGAGUUCUUAUUGAAAAAAAAGAUUGCGACCUCGAUGUUGGAUUAAAAUUACCUUAAGGUGUAGAAGCUUUGGUUGGUAAAUCUGUUCGAUUUUUAAAAUUUUACAUGAUCUGAGUUCAGACCGGCGUGAGCCAGGUUGGUUUCUAUCUUUUGAUUAUAUUAUUAUGUUUAGUACGAAAGGACCAAUUAUAAUUGAAAUUCUUAAUUAUAUAUUAAUAUAAAGUUGGCA